GGAGAUGUGGCAGAGAGGUUUAAUGCACCACUUUCGAAAAGUGGCAUACCGAAAGGUAUCGUGAGUUCAAAUCUCACCAUCUCCGCAA
RNAcentral lists this transfer RNA (88 nucleotides) under Candidatus Nomurabacteria bacterium RIFCSPHIGHO2_01_FULL_40_12. RNAcentral describes it as "tRNA-Ser". It matches the Rfam family "tRNA". Rfam says of the family: Transfer RNA (tRNA) molecules are approximately 80 nucleotides in length. Their secondary structure includes four short double-helical elements and three loops (D, anti-codon, and T loops). Lineage: Bacteria; Candidatus Nomuraibacteriota. The record is from RNAcentral.